RNAcentral lists this ribosomal RNA (470 nucleotides) under uncultured bacterium. Its description in RNAcentral is "bacterial SSU rRNA". It matches the Rfam family "Bacterial small subunit ribosomal RNA", at positions 28 to 507 of the family's 1533-position model. The record is from RNAcentral.
GAUGAACGCUGGCGGCGUGCCUAACACAUGCAAGUCGAACGAGGCCCUUUGUAUUCGUACGAAGGUGUCCUAGUGGCGAACGGGUGAGUAACACGUUGGUGACCUGCCCCAAAGUGGGGGACAACUCCGGGAAACUGGAGCUAAUACCCCAUGUGUUCCAAGGAGUUAAAGGUCCUUGGAGAAAAGGAGUAAUCCGCUUUCGGGGGGGGCCUGCGGCCCAUCAGCUAGUUGGUAGGGUAAUGGCCUACCAAGGCUACGACGGGUAGGGGACCUGAGAGGGUGGCCCCCCACACUGGCACUGAAACACGGGCCAGACACCUACGGGUGGCAGCAGUGGGGAAUAUUGCCCAAUGGACGAAAGUCUGAGGCAGCAACGCCGCGUGCGCGAUGAAGGCCUUCGGGUUGUAAAGCGCUUUUCUGGGGGAAGAGGAAGGACGGUACCCCAGGAAUAAGUCUCGGCUAACUACGUG